This is an RNA transcript of Zea mays, 1548 nucleotides long. RefSeq lists it as uncharacterized. The record is from RefSeq and is marked validated. Lineage: Eukaryota; Viridiplantae; Streptophyta; Magnoliopsida; Poales; Poaceae. The transcript has a single exon.
GUUCUAGGCCGGGAACCGCACCCGGUCCCUGGUGAGGCAGAAAUAUUCCAGCGAGGAACCGCACGUGAAUGAGCCGAGGCAUCAAGAAGGACAGUGUCGGCAAUAGCUCUUCAGUGUCGAUAUGCUCCGGCUCCGGCGACGGCCUACUGGUAUGCUUCUUCCACCCAUCUCGCAAUGCGCUGGCAGUCCACAUGUCCCCCAUCCCGCGUCAGCCCACGACGCUUCGUCUUGCCGCAUGCACAUCUCCGGGCACGCCCCGCGUCGCAUGGCGUGCGCAUGUCGCUAGAGUCCUGGGCGCUGCCAGAUCCGGCGGGCCCUGCAACGGCGGAGUCCCGGACACACUCACAUCCCUGGAGACACUUGGUGCCUCGUGUUGUCCACUCCAAGUCUCAAACUACACUGACAGGUUAUAGUUUAGUCAGUUUUCCUCCAACGGAUUCAGAGCUCCAUUGGUUCUUGCUUCAGAUUAAGAAAUGUGCACUCUUUCUAUAACUAUUGUUAGUUGGUGCAAGAAUCUCAAUGGUUUGGGAAACAAUGUGCAAUACAACUCUUUGCAGGCUAGCAGGUGCAAGUUGCUCACGCAUACACACACAUACCAGAUACAAAACUGGAGGAUAUCAGAACAUCUUUUUAGUUCCAAAUCUAUCAAUGGUAGAUUAGGAUUCUUUCAUUCUACAGAAAUUACUUUGAUGGAUGUUGUUAUAAAACAAAAACAAUGUGGUUGUCUGCCCCCGCUCGUCCAGUUCAGGUCGGUCGGCAGUCAUCUACACCACUAACAUGUUGAUUGUAUGUUGCAGUCUGCAGCUUCUCAAUUAAGGAUGCAAACUUUGAUCAUGAGUGUGCACCUUGUAUCCGUUUCAGUAGUCCACAGACUUGUUCGAGAUCUAUACGUUUACUUGACGUUAUUUUCAUUUUUGAAGUUUCCUUGACCAUGGUCUACAGUUUUCGCUUGACAUAUAUUUUAUAUGCAUUUAUAAUGAGCACAAAUAUUCAUUCUGCAUUUGAAAUCAUAACCACAAUAUCUCACAAUGCUCUCCUCUCCUUUGUUGCAGUGAUUUAGAUGCCGCAUCAUCAGUUGAAGACUAUUUCAUAUACAUUGAUGGUCUUCCAGUGAGUGAGAAGGUAUGUUCAUGGUUGGCCAAAGUUUAUGUUUUUUCCCAGUAGUUUGUAAACCUAAAUUGCACUCUGAUCUAGGAGGAAGCAGAGAAGGUGGCGGGUCCAUUCCUAGAUGUUUUAUCCUUUUAGGAGAAGACUAUUCAGUUUCGUACAUGGGUAUGCAUAGCUCCUUUUGCAGUAAUUGAUCUAGACUGGCCAUCCAUUUUGUUUGAGGCAGGGGUAUCAAGUGCACCAGAAGAAGCUCCUUUCUGUAGCUGCAUUUGAAGAGGUCAGGCACUAGAAGAUGAAUUGCCUUUUCACGUUUGCUUAUUGGUUGUUCUUUUGGUCUUAGCAACAUUACCAGAUACUAUAUGGUUCUCAUGCAGUGCUAGCGUGUUUGAGCUGCUUCGAAUUAUUAGUUUAUAUUGAUAUAGGCCUCUCAUUAUCUCCCUU